UACGUAGGGUGCGAGCGUUGUCCGGAAUUAUUGGGCGUAAAGAGCUUGUAGGCGGUUUGUCGCGUCUGCUGUGAAAUCUCAAGGCUCAACCUUGAGCUUGCAGUGGGUACGGGCAGACUAGAGUGUGGUAGGGGAGACUGGAAUUCCUGGUGUAGCGGUGAAAUGCGCAGAUAUCAGGAGGGACACCGAUGGCGAAGGCAGGUCUCUGGGCCACUACUGACGCUGAGAAGCGAAAGCAUGGGGAGCGAACAGG
This 253-nucleotide ribosomal RNA is filed under the name uncultured bacterium. RNAcentral describes it as "partial 16S ribosomal RNA". It matches the Rfam family "Bacterial small subunit ribosomal RNA", at positions 524 to 776 of the family's 1533-position model. The record is from RNAcentral.